RNAcentral lists this transfer RNA (86 nucleotides) under Candidatus Poribacteria bacterium. RNAcentral describes it as "tRNA-Leu". It matches the Rfam family "tRNA". Rfam says of the family: Transfer RNA (tRNA) molecules are approximately 80 nucleotides in length. Their secondary structure includes four short double-helical elements and three loops (D, anti-codon, and T loops). Further hydrogen bonds mediate the characteristic L-shaped molecular structure. tRNAs have two regions of fundamental functional importance: the anti-codon, which is responsible for specific mRNA codon recognition, and the 3' end, to which the tRNAs corresponding amino acid is attached (by aminoacyl-tRNA synthetases). tRNAs cope with the degeneracy of the genetic code in two manners: having more than one tRNA (with a specific anti-codon) for a particular amino acid; and 'wobble' base-pairing, i.e. permitting non-standard base-pairing at the 3rd anti-codon position. The record is from RNAcentral. Lineage: Bacteria; Candidatus Poribacteria.
GCCGAAGUGCUGGAAUUGGUAGACAGGCUAGAUUCAGGAUCUAGUGAGUAUUUUUGCUCGUAGGGGUUCAAGUCCCCUCUUCGGCA